UUCAUCCAGAGCAGCUGAGGGACUGGCCCAGUGACGCUGCGGCAACCUCCAUUAUGGGAAGGUGCCAAUUCCAGCAGGAUUUCCUGACAGAUGAGU
RNAcentral lists this non-coding RNA (96 nucleotides) under uncultured Megasphaera sp. RNAcentral's name for it is "SAM riboswitch (S box leader)". It matches the Rfam family "SAM riboswitch aptamer (S box leader)". From Rfam's summary of the family: The SAM riboswitch is found upstream of a number of genes which code for proteins involved in methionine or cysteine biosynthesis in Gram-positive bacteria. The SAM riboswitch acts at the level of transcription termination control. Lineage: Bacteria; Bacillati; Bacillota; Negativicutes; Veillonellales; Veillonellaceae. The record is from RNAcentral.